CUUGGCCCUUAUCGAAGCCACCUUGCUCUCCUUUUGGUUGCAUGUGUGGUCAAAAAGGAGCCAAUAUUGAUCCUUCUCCUGACGGUCUCUAAUCCGUUUGGUAUGUAGCGGAACAGCAACAUUACAGGGAAGGACAGUC
RNAcentral lists this small nucleolar RNA (139 nucleotides) under Erpetoichthys calabaricus (reedfish). The record is from RNAcentral. Lineage: Eukaryota; Metazoa; Chordata; Cladistia; Polypteriformes; Polypteridae.